Small nucleolar RNA from Carya illinoinensis, 90 nucleotides. RefSeq annotates it as small nucleolar RNA SNORD34. Lineage: Eukaryota; Viridiplantae; Streptophyta; Magnoliopsida; Fagales; Juglandaceae. The record is from RefSeq and is a predicted model, not a curated record. The transcript has a single exon.
UGAGGCCGAUGAUGAUCUAAAUGAUUUUUGCCUACAUUGCAUGAUUAUCUGGACUAAGAUAGUGAUAUAUCUGAAUUUUCUGAGGCCUUU